Molecule: long non-coding RNA, 547 nt
Filed under: Carica papaya (papaya)
Lineage: Eukaryota; Viridiplantae; Streptophyta; Magnoliopsida; Brassicales; Caricaceae
Description: long non-coding RNA (CPAP_LNC005699)
Source: RNAcentral
UAAGACCCCCACACCAGAUCCCAAACCCUAGCCGCCUGCCCUCGCCGGAGAAGACGAACCAGAAGCCGACCGCCGCCACCCGCCGCCGCACCGGAGGGAUUUCCGACCGCCGAUCGAGGUAAAUUUUAUACCCCCGACUCGUUUUUCCACGCUGAUUUCCCCAGUGGCCAAAUCGGAGCCAAAAUCUCGGCCAAACGGCCGAAAAACACGGCCGAAAGCCAGCGGCGCCGCCGCGCCCCUUCUCGGUUUUUGCCUCCGAUGAGGCCCUUCCCGGCCUCCGUUUAAUGCAAUUUUUAUAUCACCGUGAUCAUCAUUCUUUUCUCUACAGGUUGAUUGGAGCCGAAUCACCAAAACACGAACUUCACCGGAGAGCCGCCGCACCCGAGAGCACCGCCGCCGGUAAGCUUCGGUUUUCCGUAAAUUUUCGGCCCCCCGAGGGCCGUAGGGUUGUUUUAUUGCAGGAACCAAUGCGAGUGUGGCCGAAUUCGGCCGGAAACGGCCGAAAACGGCCAACCCGAGGCGAACUGCCGCCGCAAGCGGCGGCGCC